GUGUCAGCAGCCGCGGUAAUACGUAGGAGGCGAGCGUUGUCCGGAUUUACUGGGCGUAAAGGGCGCGCAGGCGGCCCACCAAGUACGAUGUGAAAUCUCCCUGCUCAACGGGGAGGGUGCACUGUAAACUGGUGAGCUAGAGGACGGUAGAGGGGGGUGGAAUUGCUGGUGUAGCGGUGAAAUGCGUAGAGAUCAGCAGGAACACCCGUGGCGAAGGCGGCCCCCUGGGCCGUACCUGACGCUGAGGCGCGAAGGCUAGGGGAGCGAACGGGAUUAGAUACCCCGGUAGUCC
This 292-nucleotide ribosomal RNA is filed under the name uncultured bacterium. RNAcentral's name for it is "partial 16S ribosomal RNA". It matches the Rfam family "Bacterial small subunit ribosomal RNA", at positions 505 to 796 of the family's 1533-position model. The record is from RNAcentral.